AACCUCCGCAAUGUGAGAAAUCGCGACGGGGGGAUCCCAAGUGCCAUUCUUAACGGGAUGGCUUUUCAUUAGUGUAAAGAGCUUUUGGAAUAAGAGCUGGGCAAGACCGGUGCCAGCCGCCGCGGUAACACCGGCAGCUCUAGUGGUAGCAAUUUUUAUUGGGCCUAAAGCGUCCGUAGCCGGUUUAAUAAGUCUCUGGUGAAAUCUUGCAGCUUAACUGUGGGAAUUGCUGGAGAUACUAUUAGACUUGAGACCGGGAGAGGUUAGAGGUACUCCCAGGGUAGAGGUGAAAUUCUGUAAUCCUGGGAGGACCGCCUGUUGCGAAGGCGUCUAACUGGAACGGUUCUGACGGUGAGGGACGAAAGUUAGGGGCGCGAACCGGAUUAGAUACCCGGGUAGUCCUAACUGUAAACGAUGCGGACUUGGUGUUGGGGUGGCUUUGAGCUGCUUCAGUGCCGAAGGGAAGCUGUAAGUCCGCCGCCUGGGAAGUACGGUCGCAAGACUGAAACUUAAAGGAAUU
Molecule: ribosomal RNA, 520 nt
Filed under: uncultured bacterium
Lineage: Bacteria
Description: bacterial SSU rRNA
Rfam family: Archaeal small subunit ribosomal RNA
Source: RNAcentral